CCUACGGGGGGCUGCAGUGGGGAAUAUUGGACAAUGGGGGCAACCCUGAUCCAGCCAUGCCGCGUGUGUGAAGAAGGCCCUCGGGUUGUAAAGCACUUUCAGUGAGGAAGAACGCCUGGUGGUUAAUACCCAUCAGGAAAGACAUCACUCACAGAAGAAGCACCGGCUAACUCCGUGCCAGCAGCCGCGGUAAUACGGAGGGUGCGAGCGUUAAUCGGAAUUACUGGGCGUAAAGCGCGCGUAGGUGGCUUGAUAAGCCGGUUGUGAAAGCCCCGGGCUCAACCUGGGAACGGCAUCCGGAACUGUCAAGCUAGAGUGCAGGAGAGGAAGGUAGAAUUCCCGGUGUAGCGGUGAAAUGCGUAGAGAUCGGGAGGAAUACCAGUGGCGAAGGCGGCCUUCUGGACUGACACUGACACUGAGUUGCGAAAGCGUGGGUAGCAAACAGGAUUAGAUACCCCUGUAGUC
Molecule: ribosomal RNA, 465 nt
Filed under: Vreelandella stevensii
Lineage: Bacteria; Pseudomonadati; Pseudomonadota; Gammaproteobacteria; Oceanospirillales; Halomonadaceae
Description: partial 16S ribosomal RNA
Rfam family: Bacterial small subunit ribosomal RNA
Source: RNAcentral